This 1133-nucleotide ribosomal RNA is filed under the name Salmonella enterica subsp. enterica serovar Typhimurium. Its description in RNAcentral is "partial 23S ribosomal RNA". It matches the Rfam family "Bacterial large subunit ribosomal RNA", at positions 1 to 1165 of the family's 2925-position model. Lineage: Bacteria; Pseudomonadati; Pseudomonadota; Gammaproteobacteria; Enterobacterales; Enterobacteriaceae. The record is from RNAcentral.
GGGUUGUGAGGUUAAGCGACUAAGCGUACACGGUGGAUGCCCUGGCAGUCAGAGGCGAUGAAGGGCGUGCUAAUCUGCGAUAAGCGCCGGUAAGGUGAUAUGAACCGUUAUAACCGGCGAUACCCGAAUGGGGAAACCCAGUGUGAUUCGUCACACUAUCAUUAACUGAAUCCAUAGGUUAAUGAGGCGAACCGGGGGAACUGAAACAUCUAAGUACCCCGAGGAAAAGAAAUCAACCGAGAUUCCCCCAGUAGCGGCGAGCGAACGGGGAGGAGCCCAGAGCCUGAAUCAGCAUGUGUGUUAGUGGAAGCGUCUGGAAAGGCGCGCGAUACAGGGUGACAGCCCCGUACACAAAAGCGCAUGUGCUGUGAGCUCGAUGAGUAGGGCGGGACACGUGGUAUCCUGUCUGAAUAUGGGGGGACCAUCCUCCAAGGCUAAAUACUCCUGACUGACCGAUAGUGAACCAGUACCGUGAGGGAAAGGCGAAAAGAACCCCGGCGAGGGGAGUGAAAAAGAACCUGAAACCGUGUACGUACAAGCAGUGGGAGCACCCUUCGGGGUGUGACUGCGUACCUUUUGUAUAAUGGGUCAGCGACUUAUAUUCUGUAGCAAGGUUAACCGUAUAGGGGAGCCGGAGGGAAACCGAGUCUUAAUUGGGCGUUAAGUUGCAGGGUAUAGACCCGAAACCCGGUGAUCUAGCCAUGGGCAGGUUGAAGGUUGGGUAACACUAACUGGAGGACCGAACCGACUAAUGUUGAAAAAUUAGCGGAUGACCUGUGGCUGGGGGUGAAAGGCCAAUCAAACCGGGAGAUAGCUGGUUCUCCCCGAAAGCUAUUUAGGUAGCGCCUCGUGAAUUCAUCUCCGGGGGUAGAGCACUGUUUCGGCUAGGGGGCCAUCCCGGCUUACCAACCCGAUGCAAACUGCGAAUACCGGAGAAUGUUAUCACGGGAGACACACGGCGGGUGCUAACGUCCGUCGUGAAGAGGGAAACAACCCAGACCGCCAGCUAAGGUCCCAAAGUCAUGGUUAAGUGGGAAACGAUGUGGGAAGGCCCAGACAGCCAGGAUGUUGGCUUAGAAGCAGCCAUCAUUUAAAGAAAGCGUAAUAGCUCACUGGUCGAGUCGGCCUGCGCG